Molecule: ribosomal RNA, 465 nt
Filed under: uncultured bacterium
Lineage: Bacteria
Description: bacterial SSU rRNA
Rfam family: Bacterial small subunit ribosomal RNA
Source: RNAcentral
CAGGCCUAACACAUGCAAGUCGAGCGGCAGCGGAAAGUAGCUUGCUACUUUGCCGGCGAGCGGCGGACGGGUGAGUAAUGUCUGGGAAACUGCCUGAUGGAGGGGGAUAACUACUGGAAACGGUAGCUAAUACCGCAUAACGUCGCAAGACCAAAGAGGGGGACCUUCGGGCCUCUUGCCAUCAGAUGUGCCCAGAUGGGAUUAGCUAGUAGGUGGGGUAACGGCUCACCCAGGCGACGAUCCCUAGCUGGUCUGAGAGGAUGACCAGCCACACUGGAACUGAGACACGGUCCAGACUCCUACGGGAGGCAGCAGUGGGGAAUAUUGCACAAUGGGCGCAAGCCUGAUGCAGCCAUGCCGCGUGUAUGAAGAAGGCCUUCGGGUUGUAAAGUACUUUCAGCGGGGAGGAAGGUGUUGAGGUUAAUAACCUCAGCAAUGACGUACCCGCAGAGAAGCCCGGUACUC